RNAcentral lists this ribosomal RNA (446 nucleotides) under uncultured bacterium. RNAcentral describes it as "partial 16S ribosomal RNA". It matches the Rfam family "Bacterial small subunit ribosomal RNA", at positions 338 to 795 of the family's 1533-position model. The record is from RNAcentral.
CCUACGGGUGACUGCAGUCGAGAAUCUUUCACAAUGGGGGAAACCCUGAUGCUGCGACGCCGCGUGGGGGAAUGAAGGUCUUCGGAUUGUAAACUCCUGUAAUGUGGGAGCAAAUUAAAAUGAUAGUACCACAAGAGGAAGAGACGGCUAACUCUGUGCCAGCAGCCGCGGUAAUACAGAGGGCUCAAGCGUUGUUCGGAAUCACUGGGCGUAAAGCGUGCGUAGGCUGUUUCGUAAGUCGUGUGUGAAAGGCGCGGGCUCAACCCGCGGACGGCACAUGAUACUGCGAGACUAGAGUAAUGGAGGGGUAACCGGAAUUCUCGGUGUAGCAGUGAAAUGCGUAGAUAUCGAGAGGAACACUCGUGGCGAAGGCGGGUUACUGGACAGUAACUGACGCUGAGGCUCGAAGGCGAGGGGAGCGAAAGGGAUUAGAUACCCUAGUAGUC